RNAcentral lists this ribosomal RNA (478 nucleotides) under uncultured bacterium. RNAcentral's name for it is "partial 16S ribosomal RNA". It matches the Rfam family "Bacterial small subunit ribosomal RNA", at positions 28 to 507 of the family's 1533-position model. The record is from RNAcentral.
GACGAACGCUGGCGGCGUGCUUAACACAUGCAAGUCGAACGUGAUUUGUGUGGAAAUUCUUUCGGGAAUGGAAAUGAAAUGAAAGUGGCGAACGGGUGAGUAACACGUGAGCAACCUACCUUACACAGGGGGAUAGCCGUUGGAAACGACGAUUAAUACCGCAUGAGACCACAGAAUCGCAUGAUAUAGGGGUCAAAGAUUUAUCGGUGUAAGAAGGGCUCGCGUCUGAUUAGCUAGUUGGAAGGGUAAAGGCCUACCAAGGCGACGAUCAGUAGCCGGUCUGAGAGGAUGAACGGCCACAUUGGAACUGAGACACGGUCCAAACUCCUACGUGAGGCAGCAGUGGGGAAUAUUGCACAAUGGGGGGAACCCUGAUGCAGCGACGCCGCGUGAGCGAAGAAGGUUUUCGAAUCGUAAAGCCCUGUCCUAUGAGAAGAUAAUGACGGUAUCAUAGGAGGAAGCCCCGGCUAAAUACGUG